GAGUGGGUAGUUCAGUGGUAGAGCACACGUUUAGUAUGCAUGAGGUCCUGGGUUCAAUCCCCAGCACCUCCA
RNAcentral lists this transfer RNA (72 nucleotides) under Camelus bactrianus (Bactrian camel). It matches the Rfam family "tRNA". Rfam says of the family: Transfer RNA (tRNA) molecules are approximately 80 nucleotides in length. Lineage: Eukaryota; Metazoa; Chordata; Mammalia; Artiodactyla; Camelidae. The record is from Rfam by way of RNAcentral. RNAcentral also lists the same sequence under 2 other names.